Molecule: ribosomal RNA, 471 nt
Filed under: Streptococcus gordonii
Lineage: Bacteria; Bacillati; Bacillota; Bacilli; Lactobacillales; Streptococcaceae
Description: bacterial SSU rRNA
Rfam family: Bacterial small subunit ribosomal RNA
Source: RNAcentral
GACGAACGCUGGCGGCGUGCCUAAUACAUGCAAGUAGAACGCACAGUAUAUACCGUAGCUUGCUACACCAUAGACUGUGAGUUGCGAACGGGUGAGUAACGCGUAGGUAACCUGCCUGGUAGCGGGGGAUAACUAUUGGAAACGAUAGCUAAUACCGCAUAAUAUUAAUUAUUGCAUGAUAAUUGAUUGAAAGAUGCAACUGCAUCACUACCAGAUGGACCUGCGUUGUAUUAGCUAGUAGGUGAGGUAACGGCUCACCUAGGCGACGAUACAUAGCCGACCUGAGAGGGUGAUCGGCCACACUGGGACUGAGACACGGCCCAGACUCCUACGGGAGGCAGCAGUAGGGAAUCUUCGGCAAUGGACGAAAGUCUGACCGAGCAACGCCGCGUGAGUGAAGAAGGUUUUCGGAUCGUAAAGCUCUGUUGUAAGAGAAGAACGGGUGUGAGAGUGGAAAGUUCACACUGGACG